Molecule: ribosomal RNA, 449 nt
Filed under: uncultured bacterium
Lineage: Bacteria
Description: bacterial SSU rRNA
Rfam family: Bacterial small subunit ribosomal RNA
Source: RNAcentral
ACUCCUACGGGAGGCAGCAGUGGGGAAUCUUGGACAAUGGGCGCAAGCCUGAUCCAGCCAUGCCGCGUGAGUGAUGAAGGCCUUAGGGUCGUAAAGCUCUUUCGCCAGAGAUGAUAAUGACAGUAUCUGGUAAAGAAACCCCGGCUAACUCCGUGCCAGCAGCCGCGGUAAUACGGAGGGGGUUAGCGUUGUUCGGAAUUACUGGGGCGUAAAGCGCACGUAGGCGGAUUAGUUAGUCAGAGGUGAAAUCCCGGGGCUCAACCCCGGAACUGCCUUUGAUACUGCUAGUCUUGAGUUCGAGAGAGGUGAGUGGAAUUCCGAGUGUAGAGGUGAAAUUCGUAGAUAUUCGGAGGAACACCAGUGGCGAAGGCGGCUCACUGGCUCGAUACUGACGCUGAGGUGCGAAAGUGUGGGGAGCAAACAGGAUUAGAUACCCUGGUAGCGACUGA